UGCUGAAUAUACCAGUUCUCGUUAGAUCACCGAAUUCAAGCAUCAUUGGGCGCGGUCAGUACUUGGGUGGGUGACCACCU
Caerostris darwini is the source of this 80-nucleotide non-coding RNA. NCBI's taxonomy places the organism in Eukaryota, Metazoa, Arthropoda, Arachnida, Araneae, Araneidae. The record is from the annotation of a GenBank genome assembly.